Non-coding RNA from Daphnia magna, 45 nucleotides. The record is from Rfam. NCBI's taxonomy places the organism in Eukaryota, Metazoa, Arthropoda, Branchiopoda, Diplostraca, Daphniidae.
CAAUCGGCCCUUAUCAGGGCCAACAUGUAAUUAAAGAAGAAAGCA